RNAcentral lists this ribosomal RNA (467 nucleotides) under uncultured bacterium. RNAcentral's name for it is "bacterial SSU rRNA". It matches the Rfam family "Bacterial small subunit ribosomal RNA", at positions 328 to 793 of the family's 1533-position model. The record is from RNAcentral.
UGGCCAGACUCCUACGGGAGGCAGCAGUGAGGAAUAUUGGUCAAUGGCCGAAGGGCUGAACCAGCCAAGCCGCGUGAAGGAAUAAGGCCCUACGGGUCGUAAACUUCUUUAGUCAGGGAACAAAGGGUGCCACGCGUGGCGCUGUGAGUGUACCUGAAGAAUAAGCAUCGGCUAACUCCGUGCCAGCAGCCGCGGUAAUACGGAGGAUGCGAGCGUUAUCCGGAUUUAUUGGGUUUAAAGGGUGCGCAGGCGGCGUGUCAAGUCAGCGGUAAAAUGUCGGGGCUCAACCCCGGCCGGCCGUUGAAACUGGCGUGCUCGAGUUGGAGAGAAGUAUGCGGAAUUCGUGGUGUAGCGGUGAAAUGCAUAGAUAUCACGAAGAACCCCGAUUGCGAAGGCAGCAUACCGGCGCUCAACUGACGCUCAUGCACGAAAGUGUGGGUAUCGAACAGGAUUAGAUACCCCGGUAC